RNAcentral lists this long non-coding RNA (2382 nucleotides) under Homo sapiens (human). RNAcentral describes it as "HSALNT0307054". The record is from RNAcentral. Lineage: Eukaryota; Metazoa; Chordata; Mammalia; Primates; Hominidae.
AACAUUCUGAAUAUAACUAACUUCCUUCCUUCCUGCCUUCCUCCCUCCCUGCCUUCCCUUCCUUCCUGCCUUCCUUCUUCCUUCCUCCCUUUUUUCUUUUCUCCCUUCCUUCCUUCUUAAUAUGUUUUUGGCCUUUUCUUUAUAUAUGUGGCCUAGCAAUAUCCUGUGUUUGGAAAAGUAUAAACCUAAGGCAUCACCUUUACAGAAAAUAUCUUCCACGGAAACAUCUAAAGGCAAAAAUCCUUCAAAUUCAAAUUUAUCCAAUCAUUUCUUCUGCUUACUACCAUCCUAAAUCAUUUUUCUUUAGUAAGAUCUAUUAGUGUGAAGCUAUUAAGCUAUUAAUGUAUGUAUCAUAUUAAUGUAUUAAGACAUUAAGGCCACAGAUCAGCCCUGGGGUUCAGAGGGAUCCUGACAGCUACUCCUCAAGAUCCUCUCUGUUGUGAUUCAUCCCCCCGGGGCCCUACAGUUUCUCCUUCCUGACUCUUACAUUUCUUUGGAUGGCAUCAUUAUUUACCUGUCUCCUCCCAUAGUUAGGUGCCAAGCACUGUGGAUUCUGCCUCUCAGUGUCCAGACACCCAUUUUCCUUCCCACUGUUCCUUCCCCAUGGAGAAGCCUGUGGCUGGCUGACAGCAGAGAGAGAUGCUCAACUUGGAGAAGGUGUUACCUGGGCCAGGUGGGGAAGGUUUGUUUGCAGAGCAAAGAAGUGAAGGAAGUAUUAACCCUUUGCAUGGCCUCCUGAGAAUCCGACAAGACGUAAAUAGCCAAGAAUAUCUGUGAAACUUCAUCACUGAGUUACAAUAUUUAUCACUGCAAGUGUGUUGUUCAUUGACACUAUAAAGCCAUGUGGAAUUAAGCAGCCUUGAAACACAAAAUGGAGAAAGGCUAAGAGCUGAGAAUUGUUGCCUUCAGGGAAAUACAAUCAAUGUCAAGCAAACAACCACCCCAAAAUGGUUAGCUUUAUCAGCAUUCAGGCCUACAGUGAACGCAAAUGUUCCAGAUCUGAGUUUCAAUUUUUAAAGAAUAAACAUAUGCAAAUGACCAUUAGUCUUAGUAGUUUUAGGGCUCAGAAUGAUCUUAUCUUGUUAACAUUCAGGGCAACUGCUUAUACCCAUUUGAAUGUCAUUUAGAGGGCUAGGAAAGACUGCUUCAACAUUUGAUGACUAAAUGGCAGGGCUCAGCCACAAUGCUCACUCCGAGAAAUGAGAAAUAGACACACCAGUAUGCUAGAUGCUGAUGCAGUUCAGGAAAUGCUACCCCAAAAUAUGGCCCCUCAGCAUACUGAGUAUUUUAAGCAGAAGGCAAUUAAGAAAACCACAAAAACAGAAAGGUCCCUCUGACCUUCUCCCACCCUCUCUCUCUUGAAGAUCCUCAUGUGACAGGUGACCUGCCAUAUAAUCAGAAGGAAGAAAUGUUACACAGAGAGGCUGAGAAGAAUCUGAGGACUUGCUAAGUUUUCCCCAGUUUAUUACCAUUAGAUCAUAUGCCUUUUUUGUUCAAUCAUACUUCUAUACAACUGUCCAUCAUUCAUUAAACCUAACCACAAAAGUAGUUUUCACUCGGUUUUUGAGUGAAGGCUCCUGUGUCACAUAAAACUUACAUUAAAUAAAUUUGUUCCACUUUUCUUUUGUUAAUCUGUCUUUUGUUAUAGGAAUGUCAGCCAUUAACCUCACAGUAGGUGAUGAAAAGAUAUUACUUUUUCUCCCCUAUACUACCCAAGCCAGCCACCUCAAGAAAGAACAGUUCAUGUGCAGGUGACCAUGUAGUUCAAGUCAUCAUUAAAUCCAAAGCUGAGCAGCCGUGAUGCUAUUGGUGGAAUUGCCCUUGACCAAGAGAAAUCCAUCUUGAUUGUCUCAAUAAUCGGCUCAAGGACCACUGAUGAUGAGGUCCUAAAUUUAAUUCCUAAAAAACCACUAAAGUUAUAGAGGCAAAAUGAGAAAGCAUAGCUCACAAAUACCUUGUGACCAAUGACUUGCCUAUUCAACGUGAAAAAGAUGAGGAUGAAGACCUUUAUUAUGAUCCACUUCCAAGUAAUGAACACACUGGAGAAAGUCAGACAGUCAAAACAAUGUCCCAGACUCCGUGAAGUUCCUGGGUAGAGAAGGAGACAGACAUAUACCAUACCUAAUAAUUGGAUGUCCGAGAGAAUGAGAGAAUGGCAGAAAGAACUUUAGAGCAUGGGUAUGAUGGCUAGAGCUUGAGCAGCCAUUGUGGACAUCAGAUGAACUUGAAAGUGAAAACUAUGAGCUGAAUACGACAAAGCAAACAGAUAGAAAACUGGAUUCAUUAUGACAUUGCAAAGCUGCCAGACCAGCUCUAGUCUGCUUCCCCCUAAUCUUCCUUACUAAGAGAGAGAAAUAAACUUCCAUCUUCUUCAAGCCACUG